This 687-nucleotide ribosomal RNA is filed under the name Triticum aestivum (bread wheat). RNAcentral describes it as "partial small subunit ribosomal RNA". The record is from RNAcentral. Lineage: Eukaryota; Viridiplantae; Streptophyta; Magnoliopsida; Poales; Poaceae.
AUGGUUCAAGCUGCACAUAAAAGGAAACUGCCAGUGAUAGCCUUAAAACUGGACUUUAAAAAGGCCUUUGAUUCCAUUAGUUGGGCUUGCCUCACCCAAGUUCCUGAAGCUAGGGGUUUCCCAUCACGGUGGAUACAAUGGGUUCAUGCGCUCCUUUCCACGGGUCGAUCAAGAGUGUUACUUAAUGGGGAGCUGGGUGAUCCCAUCCUUGCCAAGAGAGGCUUUCGGCAGGGGGAUUCGUUGUCUCCGUACCUCUUCAUUCUUGUUGCUGAUGUUCUCCAAAGGCUCUGUUGUAUGCACUUUCGGAAUGGCACCUUGAUGCACCCACUCGGAUCAGAUGAUUUCUUCCCAGUCUUGCAGUACGCAGAUGAUACGCUGAUUAUUUUCAGAGGUGAGCUACAGCAGGCCAUCGUGAUCAAUGACAUCUUGACCGCUUUCUCUGAGUUCUCGGGGUUGAGCAUCAAUUUUCAUAAGAGCACCUUGGUACAUGUCGGUGUGGAGCCGGACGUAGCCUCUGCGAUUGCUCAUGCGCUUGGCUGCCAGGUUUCCUCCUUUCCUUGCACCUACCUGGGGCUGCCGAUGUCCUUGCAUAAGAUCAAACAUGGCAUGCUGCUACCGGUCAUUCACAAGGUUGAUCGCCGUCUAUCAGGUUGGCUGGCCACUUUUCUCUCUUUGGGGGGAGGUUGA